RNAcentral lists this transfer RNA (73 nucleotides) under Camelus bactrianus (Bactrian camel). It matches the Rfam family "tRNA". Rfam says of the family: Transfer RNA (tRNA) molecules are approximately 80 nucleotides in length. Their secondary structure includes four short double-helical elements and three loops (D, anti-codon, and T loops). RNAcentral also lists the same sequence under 2 other names. The record is from Rfam by way of RNAcentral. Lineage: Eukaryota; Metazoa; Chordata; Mammalia; Artiodactyla; Camelidae.
GAAGGUAUAGCUCAAGUGGUAGAGUGCAUGCUUAGCAUGCAUGAGGUCCUGGGUUCCAUCCCCAGUACUGCCC